GUUCUAAGAUAGCUCAGUUGGUAGAACAUGAGACUGUUAAUCUCAGGGUUGUGGGUUCAAGCCCCAUGUUGAGCA
Molecule: non-coding RNA, 75 nt
Organism: Zootoca vivipara (common lizard)
Lineage: Eukaryota; Metazoa; Chordata; Lepidosauria; Squamata; Lacertidae
Source: the annotation of a RefSeq genome assembly